UACGGAAGGCAGCAGUGGGGAAUAUUGCACAAUGGGCGCAAGCCUGAUGCAGCCAUGCCGCGUGUAUGAAAAAGGCCUUCGGGUUGUAAAGUACUUUCAGUCGUGAGGAAGGUGUUAAGGUUAAUAACCUUAGCAAUUGACGUUAGCGACAGAAGAAGCACCGGCUAACUCCGUGCCAGCAGCCGCGGUAAUACGGAGGGUGCGAGCGUUAAUCGGAAUUACUGGGCGUAAAGGGCACGCAGGCGGUUAAUUAAGUUGGAUGUGAAAUCCCCGGGCUUAACCUGGGAAUGGCAUUCAAGACUGGUUAGCUAGAGUCUUGUAGAGGGGGUUAGAAUUCCAUGUGUAGCGGUGAAAUGCGUAGAGAUGUGGAGGAUACCGGUGGCGAAGGCGCCCCGUGGACAAAGACUGACGCUCAUGUGCGAAAGCGUGGGGAGCAAACGAGGAUUAGAUAC
This 452-nucleotide ribosomal RNA is filed under the name uncultured bacterium. RNAcentral describes it as "bacterial SSU rRNA". It matches the Rfam family "Bacterial small subunit ribosomal RNA", at positions 340 to 785 of the family's 1533-position model. The record is from RNAcentral.